This 292-nucleotide ribosomal RNA is filed under the name uncultured bacterium. Its description in RNAcentral is "partial 16S ribosomal RNA". RNAcentral also lists the same sequence under 1 other name. The record is from RNAcentral.
GGACUACCCGGGUAUCUAAUCCUGUUUGCUCCCCACGCUUUCGUGCCUCAGUGUCAGUACUAGGCCAGGUAGCCGCCUUCGCCACCGAUGUUCCUUCCGAUAUCUACGCAUUUCACCGCUACACCGGAAAUUCCACUACCCUCUCCCAUACUCAAGUCAACCAGUAUCAUCCGUCCUUCCCAGGUUGAGCCCAGGGAUUUCACAAAUAACUUAAUCAACCACCUACGCACCCUUUACGCCCAGUAAUUCCGAUUAACGCUCGCACCCUCCGUAUUACCGCGGCUGCUGGCAC